AUCUUUAAUGAGGGCCCUCAUGGGGUUUUUGAUUAUGUGAUUACUUGGCCGUUUUUUUAAUGAUUAUUUGAUUAUUAAGCCAAAUAUUUCAUGAUUAUUUGAUUACCUAGGACUGUAUUUUUAGUUUAUGAUUAUUUGAUUACUAAAGAUAAGCAAAUAUUUAAUGAUUAUGUGAUUAUAUUGGCAAAAAAAAUGGUGAUUAUGUGAUUACUAGGACCCCCCCCCCCCAUGAGGGGCCUCUUUAAUGUUC
Molecule: long non-coding RNA, 250 nt
Filed under: Mytilus galloprovincialis (Mediterranean mussel)
Lineage: Eukaryota; Metazoa; Mollusca; Bivalvia; Mytilida; Mytilidae
Source: RNAcentral